RNAcentral lists this ribosomal RNA (492 nucleotides) under uncultured bacterium. RNAcentral describes it as "partial 16S ribosomal RNA". It matches the Rfam family "Bacterial small subunit ribosomal RNA", at positions 29 to 507 of the family's 1533-position model. The record is from RNAcentral.
AGUGAACGCUGGCGGUAGGCCUAACACAUGCAAGUCGAACGGCAGCACAGUAAGAGCUUGCUCUUACGGGUGGCGAGUGGCGGACGGGUGAGGAAUACAUCGGAAUCUACUUUUUCGUGGGGGAUAACGUAGGGAAACUUACGCUAAUACCGCAUACGACCUACGGGUGAAAGCAGGGGAUCUUCGGACCUUGCGCGAUUGAAUGAGCCGAUGUCGGAUUAGCUAGUUGGCGGGGUAAAGGCCCACCAAGGCGACGAUCCGUAGCUGGUCUGAGAGGAUGUUCAGCCACACUGGAACUGAGACACGGUCCAGACUCCUACGAGAGGCAGCAGUGGGGAAUAUUGGACAAAGGGCGCAAGCCUGAUCCAGCCAUACCGCGUGGGUGAAGAAGGCCUUCGGGUUGUAAAGCCCUUUUGUUGGGAAAGAAAAGCAGCAGGUUAAUACCCCGCUGUUCUGACGGUACCCAAAGAAUAAGCACCGGCUAACUUCGUG